UACGGGGGGAGCAAGCGUUGUUCGGAUUUACUGGGCGUAAAGGGCGGGUAGGCGGCCACCGCAAGUCAGUUGUGAAAUCUCUGGGCUUAACCCAGAAAGGUCAACUGAUACUGCGGGGCUAGAGUGCAGAAGGGGCAACUGGAAUUCUCGGUGUAGCGGUGAAAUGCGUAGAUAUCUGGAGGAAUACCGGUGGCGAAGGCGGCAUCCUGGACCGACAUUGACGCUGAUGAGCGAAAGCUAGGGGAGCAAACGGG
This 254-nucleotide ribosomal RNA is filed under the name uncultured bacterium. RNAcentral's name for it is "partial 16S ribosomal RNA". It matches the Rfam family "Bacterial small subunit ribosomal RNA", at positions 524 to 776 of the family's 1533-position model. The record is from RNAcentral.